UACAGAGGGGGCAAGCGUUGUUCGGAAUUACUGGGCGUAAAGGGCGCGUAGGCGGCCUGCUAAGUCGAACGUGAAAUCCCCGAGCUCAACUCGGGAACUGCGUCCGAUACUGGCAGGCUUGAAUCCGGGAGAGGGAUGCGGAAUUCCAGGUGUAGCGGUGAAAUGCGUAGAUAUCUGGAGGAACACCGGUGGCGAAGGCGGCAUCCUGGACCGGCAUUGACGCUGAGGCGCGAAAGCUAGGGUAGCAAACGGG
RNAcentral lists this ribosomal RNA (253 nucleotides) under uncultured bacterium. Its description in RNAcentral is "partial 16S ribosomal RNA". It matches the Rfam family "Bacterial small subunit ribosomal RNA", at positions 524 to 776 of the family's 1533-position model. The record is from RNAcentral.